GAUGAACGCUGGCGGCGUGCCUAAUACAUGCAAGUCGAGCGAACGGACGAGAGGCUUGCUUCUCUGAUGUUAGCGGCGGACGGGUGAGUAACACGUGGAUAACCUACCUAUAAGACUGGGAUAACUUCGGGAAACCGGAGCUAAUACCGGAUAAUAUUUUGAACCGCAUGGUUCAAAAGUGAAAGACGGUCUUGCUGUCACUUAUAGAUGGAUCCGCGCUGCAUUAGCUAGUUGGUUAGGUAACGGCUUACCAAGGCAACGAUGCAUAGCCGACCUGAGAGGGUGAUCGGCCACACUGGAACUGAGACACGGUCCAGACUCCUACGGGAGGCAGCAGUAGGGAAUCUUCCGCAAUGGGCGAAAGCCUGACGGAGCAACGCCGCGUGAGUGAUGAAGGUCUUCGGAUCGUAAAACUCUGUUAUUAGGGAAGAACAUAUGUGUAAGUAACUGUGCACAUCUUGACGGUACCUAAUCAGAAAGCCACGGCUAACUACGUG
This 497-nucleotide ribosomal RNA is filed under the name uncultured bacterium. RNAcentral's name for it is "partial 16S ribosomal RNA". It matches the Rfam family "Bacterial small subunit ribosomal RNA", at positions 28 to 507 of the family's 1533-position model. The record is from RNAcentral.